This 468-nucleotide ribosomal RNA is filed under the name uncultured bacterium. Its description in RNAcentral is "partial 16S ribosomal RNA". It matches the Rfam family "Bacterial small subunit ribosomal RNA", at positions 28 to 507 of the family's 1533-position model. The record is from RNAcentral.
GACGAACGCUGGCGGCGUGCUUAACACAUGCAAGUCGAACGGAAAGGCCCUGCUUUUGUGGGGUGCUCGAGUGGCGAACGGGUGAGUAACACGUGAGUAACCUGCCCUUGACUUUGGGAUAACUUCAGGAAACUGGGGCUAAUACCGGAUAGGAGCUCCUGCUGCAUGGUGGGGGUUGGAAAGUUUCGGCGGUUGGGGAUGGACUCGCGGCUUAUCAGCUUGUUGGUGGGGUAGUGGCUUACCAAGGCUUUGACGGGUAGCCGGCCUGAGAGUGUGACCGGCCACAUUGGGACUGAGAUACGGCCCAGACUCCUACGGGAGGCAGAAGUGAGGAAUAUUGCACGAUGGGCGGAAGCCUUAUGCAGCAACGCCGCGUGCGGGAUGACGGCCUUCGGGUUGUAAACCGCUUUCGCCUGUGACGAAGCGUGAGUGACGGUAAUGGGUAAAGAAGCACCGGCUAACUACGUG